AUUCAUCUCAGUUUUUCCCGUUAACCGAGACCUAUGGGAAGUAAAAUUACGUCUCUCAUAUCCACCAGUGAAGGGAUUGGUGGAAAUAAAGUAUCGC
The submitters of this non-coding RNA (97 nucleotides) gave its source as unclassified sequences. The record is from Rfam.